This 891-nucleotide ribosomal RNA is filed under the name uncultured archaeon. Its description in RNAcentral is "bacterial SSU rRNA". It matches the Rfam family "Archaeal small subunit ribosomal RNA", at positions 21 to 903 of the family's 1478-position model. The record is from RNAcentral.
GGUCACUGCUAUUGGGAUUCGGCUAAGCCAUGCAAGCGGAGGGCGCGGUCGAAAGAUCGUGGCCCCGCACACUGCUCAGUAACACGUAGUCAACCUACCCUUGGGACGGGGACAACCUCGGGAAACUGAGGCUAGUCCCCGAUAGGUGAGGGACGCUGGAAUGCCUCCUCGCCCAAAGCUCCGGCGCCCAAGGAUGGGACUGCGGUCUAUCAGGCUGUUGGUGGUGUAACGGACCACCAAACCUACGACGGGUACGGGCGAUGGGAGUCGGAGCCCGGAGAUGGGGACUGAGACAAGGCCCCAGGCCCUACGGGGCGCAGCAGGCGCGAAAACUCCGCAAUGCGCGCAAGCGUGACGGGGGAAUCCCAAGUGCCGUUGGUCUUAUGAUCGACGGUUUUUAGGAAGUCUAAGAAGCUUCCAGAAUAAGGGCUGGGCAAGACUGGUGCCAGCCGCCGCGGUAACACCAGCAGCCCAAGUGGUGACCACGAUUAUUGGGCCUAAAGCGCUCGUAGCCGGAUCAGCAAGUCCCUUGUGAAAUCGGGCCGCCCAACGGUUCGGCGUGCAAGGGAUACUGUUGGUCUUGAGGCCGGGAGAGGUCGGAGGUACUCCUGGGGUAGCGGUGAAAUGCUCUAAUCCUAGGGGGACCACCAGUGGCGAAGGCGUCCGACCAGAACGGACCUGACGGUGAGGGGCGAAGGCUAGGGGAGCGAACGGGAUUAGAUACCCCGGUAGUCCUAGCUGUAAAGCAUGCGGGCCAGGUGUCUAGCGCUCCUUGAGGGCGCUAGGUGCCGGAGGGAAGCCGUUAAGCCCGCCGCCUGGGAAGUACGGCCGCAAGGCUGAAACUUAAAGAAAUUGGCGGGGGAGCACCACAAGAGGUGGGACCUGCGGUUC